This 408-nucleotide ribosomal RNA is filed under the name uncultured bacterium. RNAcentral's name for it is "partial 16S ribosomal RNA". It matches the Rfam family "Bacterial small subunit ribosomal RNA", at positions 28 to 526 of the family's 1533-position model. The record is from RNAcentral.
GACGAACGCUGGCGGCGUGCUUAACACAUGCAAGUCGAACGAAGUGGCGAACGGGUGAGUAACGCGUAAUCAACCUGCCCUUCAGAGGGGGACAACAGUUGAAAACGACUGCUAAUACCCCAUACUGAUGGAGGGGAUUGCGUCGGAUUGGCUAGUUGGGGGGGUAACGGCCAACAAAGGCGAUGAUCAGUAGACGGUCUGAGAGGAGGAACGGCCACAUUGGGACCGAGACAAGGCCCAGACUCCGUCGGGAGGCAGCAGUGGGGAAUCUUCCGCAAUGGAGGAAAGUCUGACGGAGCAACGGCGCGGGAGGGAUUACGGCCUUCGGGUUGUAAAGCUCUGUUAAUCGGGACGCGGUACCGGAAUAGAAAGCCACGGCUAACUACGUGCCAGCCGCCGCGGUAAUUC